GGUCGCGGUAGCCGAGCGGUAGCAUUGCGUACUAACAUUCGGAAGGCCCGGGUUCAAAUCCCCGUGCGACCA
RNAcentral lists this transfer RNA (72 nucleotides) under Ceratitis capitata (Mediterranean fruit fly). RNAcentral describes it as "tRNA-Val". The record is from RNAcentral. Lineage: Eukaryota; Metazoa; Arthropoda; Insecta; Diptera; Tephritidae.